AUGUGCCAAUUACACGCCGGUCCCAGCGCGCCGUUUAGGCCGCCUGACGAGUACUCGCUAGCUUUUUGUCAGUC
RNAcentral lists this small RNA (74 nucleotides) under Xanthomonas vesicatoria. Its description in RNAcentral is "sX9". Lineage: Bacteria; Pseudomonadati; Pseudomonadota; Gammaproteobacteria; Lysobacterales; Lysobacteraceae. The record is from RNAcentral.